RNAcentral lists this ribosomal RNA (253 nucleotides) under uncultured bacterium. RNAcentral describes it as "partial 16S ribosomal RNA". It matches the Rfam family "Bacterial small subunit ribosomal RNA", at positions 524 to 776 of the family's 1533-position model. The record is from RNAcentral.
UACGGGGGGGGCAAGCGUUGUUCGGAAUUACUGGGCGUAAAGCGCGUGUAGGCGGCUUUGCAAGUCGGAUGUGAAAUCCCACGGCUCAACCGUGGAAGUGCAUUCGAAACUGCAAGGCUAGAGUCCUGGAGAGGAAGGUGGAAUGCUUGGUGUAGAGGUGAAAUUCGUAGAUAUCAAGCGGAACACCGGUGGCGAAGGCGGCCUUCUGGACAGUGACUGACGCUGAGACGCGAAAGCGUGGGGAGCAAACAGG